This 2052-nucleotide ribosomal RNA is filed under the name Escherichia coli. Its description in RNAcentral is "partial 23S ribosomal RNA". It matches the Rfam family "Bacterial large subunit ribosomal RNA", at positions 418 to 2455 of the family's 2925-position model. Lineage: Bacteria; Pseudomonadati; Pseudomonadota; Gammaproteobacteria; Enterobacterales; Enterobacteriaceae. The record is from RNAcentral.
CGGGACACGUGGUAUCCUGUCUGAAUAUGGGGGGACCAUCCUCCAAGGCUAAAUACUCCUGACUGACCGAUAGUGAACCAGUACCGUGAGGGAAAGGCGAAAAGAACCCCGGCGAGGGGAGUGAAAAAGAACCUGAAACCGUGUACGUACAAGCAGUGGGAGCACGCUUAGGCGUGUGACUGCGUACCUUUUGUAUAAUGGGUCAGCGACUUAUAUUCUGUAGCAAGGUUAACCGAAUAGGGGAGCCGAAGGGAAACCGAGUCUUAACUGGGCGUUAAGUUGCAGGGUAUAGACCCGAAACCCGGUGAUCUAGCCAUGGGCAGGUUGAAGGUUGGGUAACACUAACUGGAGGACCGAACCGACUAAUGUUGAAAAAUUAGCGGAUGACUUGUGGCUGGGGGUGAAAGGCCAAUCAAACCGGGAGAUAGCUGGUUCUCCCCGAAAGCUAUUUAGGUAGCGCCUCGUGAAUUCAUCUCCGGGGGUAGAGCACUGUUUCGGCAAGGGGGUCAUCCCGACUUACCAACCCGAUGCAAACUGCGAAUACCGGAGAAUGUUAUCACGGGAGACACACGGCGGGUGCUAACGUCCGUCGUGAAGAGGGAAACAACCCAGACCGCCAGCUAAGGUCCCAAAGUCAUGGUUAAGUGGGAAACGAUGUGGGAAGGCCCAGACAGCCAGGAUGUUGGCUUAGAAGCAGCCAUCAUUUAAAGAAAGCGUAAUAGCUCACUGGUCGAGUCGGCCUGCGCGGAAGAUGUAACGGGGCUAAACCAUGCACCGAAGCUGCGGCAGCGACGCUGAUGCGUUGUUGGGUAGGGGAGCGUUCUGUAAGCCUGUGAAGGUGUGCUGUGAGGCAUGCUGGAGGUAUCAGAAGUGCGAAUGCUGACAUAAGUAACGAUAAAGCGGGUGAAAAGCCCGCUCGCCGGAAGACCAAGGGUUCCUGUCCAACGUUAAUCGGGGCAGGGUGAGUCGACCCCUAAGGCGAGGCCGAAAGGCGUAGUCGAUGGGAAACAGGUUAAUAUUCCUGUACUUGGUGUUACUGCGAAGGGGGGACGGAGAAGGCUAUGUUGGCCGGGCGACGGUUGUCCCGGUUUAAGCGUGUAGGCUGGUUUUCCAGGCAAAUCCGGAAAAUCAAGGCUGAGGCGUGAUGACGAGGCACUACGGUGCUGAAGCAACAAAUGCCCUGCUUCCAGGAAAAGCCUCUAAGCAUCAGGUAACAUCAAAUCGUACCCCAAACCGACACAGGUGGUCAGGUAGAGAAUACCAAGGCGCUUGAGAGAACUCGGGUGAAGGAACUAGGCAAAAUGGUGCCGUAACUUCGGGAGAAGGCACGCUGAUAUGUAGGUGAAGCGACUUGCUCGUGGAGCUGAAAUCAGUCGAAGAUACCAGCUGGCUGCAACUGUUUAUUAAAAACACAGCACUGUGCAAACACGAAAGUGGACGUAUACGGUGUGACGCCUGCCCGGUGCCGGAAGGUUAAUUGAUGGGGUCAGCGCAAGCGAAGCUCUUGAUCGAAGCCCCGGUAAACGGCGGCCGUAACUAUAACGGUCCUAAGGUAGCGAAAUUCCUUGUCGGGUAAGUUCCGACCUGCACGAAUGGCGUAAUGAUGGCCAGGCUGUCUCCACCCGAGACUCAGUGAAAUUGAACUCGCUGUGAAGAUGCAGUGUACCCGCGGCAAGACGGAAAGACCCCGUGAACCUUUACUAUAGCUUGACACUGAACAUUGAGCCUUGAUGUGUAGGAUAGGUGGGAGGCUUUGAAGUGUGGACGCCAGUCUGCAUGGAGCCGGCCUUGAAAUACCACCCUUUAAUGUUUGAUGUUCUAACGUUGACCCGUGAUCCGGGUUGCGGACAGUGUCUGGUGGGUAGUUUGACUGGGGCGGUCUCCUCCUAAAGAGUAACGGAGGAGCACGAAGGUUGGCUAAUCCUGGUCGGACAUCAGGAGGUUAGUGCAAUGGCAUAAGCCAGCUUGACUGCGAGCGUGACGGCGCGAGCAGGUGCGAAAGCAGGUCAUAGUGAUCCGGUGGUUCUGAAUGGAAGGGCCAUCGCUCAACGG